GGACCAGACUUCUACGGAAGGCAGCAGUGAGGAAUAUUGGUCAAUGGAGGAAACUCUGAACCAGCUAUGCCGCGUGUACGGAAGACAGUCUUUUAGAUUGUAAACUACUUUUGCAUAGAAAUAAAAGUUACUACGUGAUAGUAACCUGAAGGUACUAUGCGAAUAAGUGUCGGCUAAUUUCGUGCCAGCAGCCGCGGUAAUACGAAAGACACAAGCGUUAUCCGGAUUUAUUGGGUUUAAAGGGUGUGUAGGCUGUUUAUUAAGUCAGUAGUGAAAGCUUACAGCUUAACUGUAAAAUUGCUAUUGAUACUGAUAGACUUGAGUAAGAUUGGAGCAUUUGGAAUGUAUGGUGUAGCGGUGAAAUGCAUAGAUAUCAUACAGAACACCAAUAGCGAAGGCAGGAUGCUAAAUCUUCACUGACGCUGAGGCACUAAAGCGUGGGGAGCAAACAGGAUUAGAUACCCUGGUAGUCCACUGCCCUAAACUAUGAUCACUAGCUAUUGGAAAAAACUAUAUUCAGUGGCCAAGCCAAAGCGAUAAGUGAUCCACCUGGGAAGUACGAUCGCAAGAUUGAAACUCAAAGGAAUUGACGGGGUUCCGCACAAGCGGUGGAGCAUGUGGUUUAAUUCGAUGAUACGCGAGGAACCUUACCAAGGCUUAAAUGGAUUACGAAUAAGCUGGAAACAACUUAGUCUAUAAGACGUAAUACAAGGUGCUGCAUGGUUGUCUUCAGUUCGUGCUGUGAAGUGUUUGGUUAAGUCCUAUAACGAGCGCAACCCCUAUUGUUAGUUGCCAACGGGUAAAGCCGGGGACUCUAACAAAACUGCCGGUGUAAAUCGUGAGGAAGGUGGGGAUAAUGUCAA
RNAcentral lists this ribosomal RNA (863 nucleotides) under Candidatus Uzinura diaspidicola. Its description in RNAcentral is "bacterial SSU rRNA". It matches the Rfam family "Bacterial small subunit ribosomal RNA", at positions 328 to 1188 of the family's 1533-position model. The record is from RNAcentral. Lineage: Bacteria; Pseudomonadati; Bacteroidota; Flavobacteriia; Flavobacteriales.